AUGGUUUGUUUAGGUGACCUUAAUAAUAUUAUACAUAAAAGAGAAUCUUAUGGAGCUAAUGUUAAUUACAAUCGUAUGCAAGGUUUUAAUAAUUAUGUUAAGCAGUGUGGCUUGUUCGACCUGGGCUUUUCUGGACCUGCUUACACUUGGACCAAUAUGAGCUUUUCUUCUAAUCCUAUUUCUGAACGUCUCGAUCGAUGUCUUGCUAAUGAUGAAUGGUGUGAUUUGUUUCCCAUGAAAAAUGUUUUCAACAUGCCUAUUAUUCAUAGUUUUAGCGAUCAUGCACCUAUCUUACUUUCAACUUAGUCUAAAUUUAAAAGGCCUUGGCUCACCUUCAAAUUUGAAAAUUGGUGGAUUCUUGAGGGAGAUCAUCAAUCUGUUGCAAAGAAUGAUUGGGCUUCUACAGCUACAAAACCUUUCCAUGCACGCACUAACCAUCUUGCAUGUACUCUUAAAGUGUGGUGCAAAAAGAAAAGACCACUUUAG
RNAcentral lists this ribosomal RNA (486 nucleotides) under Triticum aestivum (bread wheat). Its description in RNAcentral is "partial small subunit ribosomal RNA". Lineage: Eukaryota; Viridiplantae; Streptophyta; Magnoliopsida; Poales; Poaceae. The record is from RNAcentral.